GAGUAGCAUGGGGCACGUGGAAUCCCAUGUGAAUCAGCAAGGACCACCUUGCAAGGCUAAAUACUCCUGGGUGAUCGAUAGCGAAGUAGUACCGUGAAGGAAGGGUGAAAAGAACCCCCGUCGGGGAGUGAAAUAGAACAUGAAACCAUAAACUCCCAAGCAUUGGGAGGAGCCCAGGGCUCUAACCGCGUGCCUGUUGAAGAAUGAGCCGGCGACUCAUAGGCAGUGGCUUGGUUA
This 237-nucleotide non-coding RNA is filed under the name Gossypium arboreum. Its description in RNAcentral is "Bacterial large subunit ribosomal RNA". It matches the Rfam family "Bacterial large subunit ribosomal RNA", at positions 410 to 648 of the family's 2925-position model. Lineage: Eukaryota; Viridiplantae; Streptophyta; Magnoliopsida; Malvales; Malvaceae. The record is from Rfam by way of RNAcentral.